GUGCGUUCUUAUGUUGUACUGUUAUACCACUGUCCCAGGUUAGGGGAGGGUUGGGAUCCCGCUAAAAUGUUUAACCCCGCCACAUUUUUUAUGUAUGUGUCUGCCCCAAGUCAGGAGCCUGUAAAUCAGUGGUUGGCGGUUAGUUUAUGUGUUACAUAUUUGGUUUUCGUUUAUCUUUUUUAUUUAAAAAAGGCCGUUAGUUUUCUCGUUUGAAUUUUUUUACAUUGUCAUAUCGGGGCCUUUUAUAGCUGACUAUGCGGUAUGGGCUUUGCUCAUUGUUGAUGGCCGAACGGUGACCUUUAGUUGCUAAUGUAUGUGUCAUUUU
Molecule: long non-coding RNA, 325 nt
Filed under: Mytilus galloprovincialis (Mediterranean mussel)
Lineage: Eukaryota; Metazoa; Mollusca; Bivalvia; Mytilida; Mytilidae
Source: RNAcentral